CUGCUAUCGGGGUGGGACUAAGACAUGCGAGUCAAGCGUCUCUAGCUAUGUUGAGACGCGGCACACGGCUCAGUAACACGUGGCUAACCUACCCUCAGGACAGGGACAACCCCGGGAAACUGGGGCUAAUACCUGAUAGGUGAGGAUGCCUGGAAUGGUUUCUCACUCAAAGGGCUUUGGGAACAUGCUUCCAUUGUCGCCUGGGGAUGGGGCCGCGACCGAUCAGGUUGUUGGUUGAGGUAACGGCUCACCAAGCCUUUAACCGGUACGGGCCGUGAGAGCGGUAGCCCGGAGAUGGGUACUGAGACAAGGACCCAGGCCCUACGGGGCGCAGCAGUCGCGAAAACUCCGCAAUGCACGAAAGUGUGACGGGGCUACCCCGAGUGCCGUCCGCUGAGGAUGGCUUUUCCCUGGUUUAACUAGCCAGGGGAAUAAGGAGAGGGCAAGACUGGUGUCAGCCGCCGCGGUAAUACCAGCUCUCCGAGUGGUAGGGAUGAUUAUUGGGCUUAAAGCGUCCGUAGCCGGCUUAGCAAGUCUCCUGUUAAAUUCAGCGACCUAAUCGUUGAGCCGCGGGAGAUACUACUAGGCUAGGAGGCGGGAGAGGUCGACGGUACUUCUGGGGUAGGGGGUGAAAUCCUAUAAUCCCGGGAGGACCACCAGUGGCGAAGGCUGUUGACUAGAACGCGCUCGACGGUGAGGGACGAAAGCUGGGGGAGCAAACCGGAUUAGAUACCCGGGUAGUCCCAGCUGUAAACGAUGCGGGCUAGGUGUUGGGGUGGCUACGUGCCACUUCAGUGCCGCAGGGAAGCCAUUAAGCCCGCCGCCUGGGGAGUACGGCCGCAAGGCUGAAACUUAAAGGAAUUGGCGGG
Molecule: ribosomal RNA, 869 nt
Filed under: uncultured archaeon
Lineage: Archaea
Description: bacterial SSU rRNA
Rfam family: Archaeal small subunit ribosomal RNA
Source: RNAcentral